Molecule: long non-coding RNA, 742 nt
Filed under: Zonotrichia albicollis (white-throated sparrow)
Lineage: Eukaryota; Metazoa; Chordata; Aves; Passeriformes; Passerellidae
Description: lncRNA (ENSZALG00000012939.1)
Source: RNAcentral
CUAGCUCAUGCUGAUAAGCACCUACUGACGCAAGCAGUUCCAUUAAGGCCCCUCCUUUCAAGGAAAAGCUCGAUUGGGCUCAGGCUACUUCUCUGGAAGAAUAAGAACAGUCUCUGCCAAUCUAUGAAUUUGUACAACAUGAUGUAAGAAAACUUCAAAAGGAGUUCUGGUUGAUGGCACUUUUAGAACCACCAAGGCUGUGGAGGAAAACCGUUUUCUGGAAAGAGCACUCCCAGAGCUACUUGCAAAAUCAUUAAGUGCUUAGAUCAUAGAAUAGUUCUUAAACUCCAUCACAUGUUUUUCCCUCCAUUUUUGUUUCUUAAUUGUUAAUCUCCUGAACCUUUGAGGUCUCAAGAAAAUGUAAAUCAAAAGCUUUUUGAGUUAUGGUUCCUGAUGAUUCACAAGGCCAGGGCUCUUUGGGACUCCAUGCUUGUACUACCAAUGAAACAAUUGAUGGAGGGGAAGUGUAUCCUACAUGGUUUCAACACAAAGUAUUUCCGGAAAGCAGGAGCCUUUGGGAUGAGGUGAGGUUUUCCACUUUCUGUUUCACUUCUGCUUCCCUCUUUCCUUCUCCUCUUCUUUCCCCUUUCCCUUCCCUUUACUGUUACCCUCUCCCUUUCCCUUCCCUUUUGCCUCCUUCUUCUUCAUCAUGGAGGGAUAUUUGGGAAGUUAUGCAUCACUGUUCUAAUUUCACUGUUGGUGACUUUGUAUUAAUAAGUUUUCAGUGGAUACAGACGUCGUG